CAAGUCGAGGGGCAGCGCGGUGUAGCAAUACACUGGCGGCGACCGGCAAACGGGUGCGGAACACGUACGCAACCUUCCUUUCAGCGGGGAAUAGCCCAGAGAAAUUUGGAUUAAUACCCCGUAAGAUGGUGGUGAGGCAUCUCACGGCCAUAAAAGCUCCGGCACUGAGAGAUGGGCGUGCGUCUGACUAGGUAGUUGGUGAGGUAACGGCUCACCAAGCCGACGAUCAGUAACUGGCGUGAGAGCGCGACCAGUCACACGGGCACUGAGACACGGGCCCGACUCCUACGGGAGGCAGCAGUAAGGAAUAUUGGUCAAUGGACGCAAGUCUGAACCAGCCAUGCCGCGUGGAGGAUGAAGGUCCUCUGGAUUGUAAACUUCUUUUAUCUGGGAAGAAAUCACUUUUUUCUAAAGGUGUUGACGGUACCAGAUGAAUAAGCACCGGCUAACUCCGUGCCAGCAGCCGCGGUAAUACGGAGGGUGCAAGCGUUAUCCGGAUUCACUGGGUUUAAAGGGUGCGUAGGCGGAAUGGUAAGUCCGUGGUGAAAUCUCCGAGCUUAACUCGGAAACUGCCGUGGAUACUAUCAAUCUUGAAUGUUGUGGAGGUUUGCGGAAUAUGUCAUGUAGCGGUGAAAUGCUCAGAUAUGACAUAGAACACCGAUUGCGAAGGCAGCAGGCUACACAAAUAUUGACGCUGAGGCACGAAAGCGUGGGGAUCAAACAGGAUUAGAUACCCUGGUAGUCCACGCCCUAAACGAUGAUUACUCGACAUACGCGAUAUACAGUGUGUGUCUGAGCGAAAGCAUUAAGUAAUCCACCUGGGAAGUACGACCGCAAGGUUGAAACUCAAAGGAAUUGACGGGGGUCCGCACAAGCGGUGGA
This 882-nucleotide ribosomal RNA is filed under the name uncultured Flexibacteraceae bacterium. Its description in RNAcentral is "bacterial SSU rRNA". It matches the Rfam family "Bacterial small subunit ribosomal RNA", at positions 58 to 936 of the family's 1533-position model. The record is from RNAcentral. Lineage: Bacteria; Pseudomonadati; Bacteroidota; Cytophagia; Cytophagales; Cytophagaceae.